This is a non-coding RNA of Anas platyrhynchos (mallard), 8907 nucleotides long. The record is from RefSeq and is a predicted model, not a curated record. NCBI's taxonomy places the organism in Eukaryota, Metazoa, Chordata, Aves, Anseriformes, Anatidae.
UCUCCCAGUGCUGUCUGUUCUUUUCCUCUGAGUUUUGCAGGCAGGGGAAUCUCAUGCAAGCUUCAGCUCCACAUCCUCUGAAGAGAAAACAUUAAAGUCAGCACUUGACUGCACUGAAUUUUACAGGAUUUUCUCCCAAGAGACAGAAGCAGGAGGAGGGAGAUGAAGAAAAGACAUCAUAACUUGACAUCGCCAUGCUUUUCUGUUUGUGGUCUGCUAGGAUUUGGCAAUAACAUUUAUGCUGUUUCAGAGAAAAGAUAGGGGGUGAACAGCUGGAGGAGAAGUCCACACAAAGGCUUUAACAUCAGCAGGAGCAGAGCCCCAGGAGGGUCCUGGACAGGCCAGCAGUGUCAGUGUGUCGGCUCGGGGACAUCUCUGGUCUGAACACACCCGUCGGGGAUGUGUGUGCUGCUUGGAGGGGCUGGGAAAGCCACAAAGCAUCUCAGCUCACUUCCAGACUUAUUUUUUAGACAGCCUGGAUUUGUUUUGGAGGGAAAAAAAGAGAGCCUGGGAGAUUUGCAGAUGAGGCACCUACCUUUGAAGUUCUCCCUUCUCUAAGGGUGUGCAGAGUGUGCGCACAUGCUCACUCCACUGGUCAGCCUUCAAGGUCAUUAAUGUUUGGGAACUGUCAGUCGAAGAAGAGCUAAUCACUUGCUCCAAUUUUGGGACGUUUCUCACACUGAAAAGUUUAUUGAUUGUGCAUUCUACUCUUGCACCGGAUUUUACUGUUUUUUUGCACAUGGGAUGAUGGUGGCCACCAGUUUUCAUCUGUCCUCCUACCCUGAGGCAAGCAUGACACGACCCAUGAAGUGCUUGCUUACACUUCACAGUCCCAAAUAUGCCAUGGCUUUGCCAACUUUUCAGCUUAAAUUUUACGGGCACUGAACUAUUUCUGCAAACCCCAGGGGGACAGCCUCAUCCCGUGCUGAAGGUCGCAUUCAUCAUGGCUGCGAGAAGGGAGCAGGAAUGAGGUGGCCAAACCACGACCUGUGCCAGGUGGUGCUGCCCUGGGCAAUGUGGGGCACCCACAGCCAGGACCGAAGCUGCUGUCCCUGCUCCAAAGAUGGUGCUGCAAGAAUCACUAUUGACAGAGACUUCUGCAAACCACCCAAAAGCCCAUUCGAGAUGUCUGUUAUAAACACAGUUCAAACAACAUCGCACAAGAAAUGUUAUAAAUAUUUUAAAAUGGCUUCUUAAAAUUAGGGAUUGCCUACUGAAGGCAGUCAUUAGUGUAGGUUUCAUUGGUGUAGCAGACUGGAACAAGUUAUCUAGUUAUGAACUAAUUUAAAUUAUAUCCAUUAAAAUAUCCUUUUUACAUAAAACAGGGGGCAUUGGGGUUAUAAAAUAGACUGGGGCUUAAAGUGUAAGCUAAUAAAUAUCUAAUAAGUUGCAGUGCAUAUUUAAAUUGAUACGACAUACAAUAUAUUGAGUAAAUACUGCAGUGAAGACUCUGAACGGCCCUUGACCAGCCCUUGAAGCAGCUGUAGAGUAGUGCCUGGAACAUUUUAUUGUGCGUUUUUCAGGUCUUGGCAUGACAUGACCCCUCAUCGGUCCUGCUGCUCCUCCAAAAGCACAGUGCUCAAGCCAGCCACUACCUGAGUGCACGUGUUCGGACUCUGUUUUACCAGGUAAUUCAUUAAUGGGUCCUCUGCACACCUUAGGUGGCUCAUAUCCAUUAUCCGCACUUAAUAGUUUAGCCUAAGGAUGUCUCUCAACAUAAAUAAUCUUCCGUAAUACUUUGAUAGCAUAGUUGUAUUUCUUUUUAUAGUAAAUGGAAAUUAGCUAAAAGCCUUUGCCCAGAUUUGGAAUCGCAUGUCAUAUGGAAGACCAGAUAAAGAAUCUGCUGAGUUUUUUUUUUUUUUUUUUAAAGGAGGAUAUAUUAUCCCACCAGUGCGAUAUCUCCCACACAGGCAGAAAUUCAUCCAACACGUGUUCAAGUAAUUUUCUCUCUCUGACUUUUAGCUGGCCACGUAGACUUUUAAACUACCCGUGCUGCUUUAAAUGUAGUUUUAAAUUGCACCUAAUAUUUGGUGGGUAAUUCUUUAAAGCUGUUAGCACCUAUUCACAGUGUAAGUAGGGGGAUUUUUCUUUUUCAUGUGAGCCUUCUGGGAUGUUAAAGGAUCCAAGACUGGGGAUGCAAUCUCAAUCCAGAACUGAUCUUUGCAGUUUCCUGCAAGGGUGAAAUGGGAAAUGUAAAAUAUUACUUUAUUAAAAAUUGCUCAAAACACAUCUUCCUUGUUAAAUAUGCAGAGCUAUUCAAAUAUAUUACCUUUCUGGGAACAGUAACAAUACUCUGUUUGCCUGAAUUACUAUUUCCAGUACUUCUUUUACUGCUAAGGUAAAAUUAGGAUUUCAGAAGAACAAAUUAAUUUCUACAUUUUCUGAAGACCCAAAAAUGAACAUCCACGAACUGCAAAGGGGUAAGAGGCUUCUGUUAUUUAGUGUGAACACAGGACUCCCUUGCAUGUGACCAUGUUUUUUUUAAAAAAAAAUGGCUAAAAAGUUAGUAAACACACCACCUUUGCAGUUACAAAAGCCAGCAGUCUGUGGCUGGUGGUAUCAUGUCAUACUUAUUGUGAAGAAAUUUCUGUACCAGCCACCAACACCAAGGCAAAAACUGAAACUUACAUUCUUCAUACCUUAUAAAAUGUAACUGUGUCUUUGACACCCAUACUUAAAGUAUUUAUAAUAUUACAGUUAUCUCUUACAAUUUAAAUCAAUUUGGAACCACUUACAAGACAAAGUCCAAACAUGCCUGAAUUUCUUCCAGGAUGCUUUUACAAACUAUGUUUUCUAUGCAAAUAAUUUAUUCUACAAUUUUCUCAGUGAAAUUAAUUCCACAUACCCUACCUGCUAAUGAGAGCCCACCAAAUAUUUUGCUAUCGCACGCACUCAUUAGCUUGUUUUCAUUUGCAGGGAGCAAUCAACAUCUGCCAAGCAGCUAGCAUACCAAAGCUGCCAUUAGUAUUUCCUGAAUCUAACUGUUUCUAUUUCUUCCUCACCUCCAAAGGACAAUCCUGCACAGCAGGUAUCUUAGCAUUAAUAUUGCUGGGGAAUAGUUGCCUUCUGCAAGAGUACUCUGGACCCGAAACCAAAACCUCCUGUCUUUCUGCUAAAUGAUUGAAGAAUACCUUGUAAAUCAUUUACCUCUCCCUGCUGCUGGUUUUCUGUUGAUAGUGUUUACUCUGCUUCCAACAUGAUGGCAAAGUUAAAUUUUCAUUUUGCUGAAAAAGAACAAAAUACGGUGAGCCUUUUUGCUCGUUAUUGCCUGAUCUUUCUGGAGUGAGCUGUUUCCCAAUCCCAUGCAUCACAGAUGUCCUGUCAGGGCUCAUAUACACCCAGUGAAGUAUUUGCAUCCCCGUGCCUGCUGAUAGAGUGAGCAUGUUUGUCUACAAAGUGCUUUUAAAUGAACUAAUACAUGAUUCAUGCAGGCUCCUUUGAGCAGAACACCAAUCUGUCUGGACACAGUUUGCUGUAGGCUUGACAACAAGAGCAUUUCUCUAGGUGAGACGGGUGCAAGAGACCUUUCGGAAGGAAGGUGGGGAGCAAGCGGCCGUCAUGGCCCCACUGAGCAGCUGGGGCAUGCAGGGGUUCCCCACAGGGCAGGAGCAAACCCCACUUUUGUCUGAGAUGUUCUUCAUACCGUCUCUCUCUGGGUGUGGGUGACACGAGCUGCACAGAGGCUGUAUCUGCUCAGUCAUGCUUGAGCAGGAGCGGAUAGUGCACUACCUUUAUUAUUUAUACAGGGAUACAACAAGAUUCUUUGCAGUCAAAGAGAAGAAAAAAAAAAAAAGGAAAAAAAAAGGAAAAAAAAAAAGAUUGAUCCCAAGUAUACUGUUUCCUAUUGAACUAAAUAGAUUUUUAAUCGAGUCACUGCUCCUUUGGGUAAUUGACUUAACAGUGUGGGCAAAUUAAUUUCAGAUAAACCAUAGCUGGGAUUUUCCAAGGAGCACAAGGGUGCUAAGGAGUCAGCUCCAGUGCAGUGAGAGCAGGGCAAAUAUCUUAAUUCCUCUGGCUUCCCGGGCACAGCGCUGCCCAGAUGUUUAAACCUGGCGCUGAAUUUGGAAGCUUUUAUGUUAGUGAAACUCCCACUGAAGUCAGUCAAAACACUGAUUCAGAAAGGACGGCAGAAAUCGGUUCAAAAAAAUCCCAAGUGCUUGCAAAUGUGUUAUGCACACAUAACCUCCUCCCCUCGUUUAAUAACCUAAUCUAAAUGUUGCUCUGCGCAAUGCAUUAUUGUUCAAGUCUUUCUGUGAGAUUUGGCACAAUUACCUCCUUUUGGAUCUUAUCUGGGAAGCAAAGCCUUUGAAACAAGUUUAUUUUCCGGUGACCCAACCAGAACCCCACUCUAGUGGUGAAAGAUUGGUGAGGAAAACUAGCAUCGUGCUGCGGUUCCAGAAUACCCGCUUCUCUCGUCUAAAGCUCCGCUUACAUUAAAGCUCUUUCUACAAAGGGCACUGCAAAAGCAGGGAACUUGGAACACUUUUUACUCUAUUCAGGUCAGAAAUAGGCAGAAAAAAAAAAAUGCACUGUGACUUGUUCUGGCAGGAUUGUUUUGGGUUUUCCCAAAUUCAGAGCCUCAGCAAGACAAGGAAAGCCACACUCGCUUGUCCGUGGGGCAGCAAGUUGUGCUACAGCAGCCAGAGGUGGUGUCUGCAGGCCCCUUGGCUUUGGUUUUGCUCAGAGACAGGAGACUGCACACAUUUACCUUCCUCCAACAUCAAAUCUAUUAAAUCCUACAUCUUUUACAUAGGGCACAGUACCUAUAUUAAUGCAUAGAAGCAACACUCCUUCCAAUAUUUUUUAAGGAAAUGAAAACUGUACAUUUUAAGAAUCUGUAGCUGCUUUUCAUUGCUGAAAAAUUAUAUUCUGUGAAUUGAAUACAAUAAAAAUACCAUUAUUAUUAAAGAAAUUCUAUUGUAUGGAAAGAACUCGCGUUACAUUCUUUGGUGCCUUAUUCAUGCAACUUCAGUAAUUAAAGAGAAGAUCAACUAACUAUUAAAAGGAAAUUAUUCCUCAGCUGCCAGUUGCAACCCUUGUGAAAUCAAGGAAUGUGACAAAUAGUACUGUUGGUAUUAUUUACAUGUCAUGAAUGGGUAAGUAUAUAUCUACAUUGUUUUUUCUCUUCUAAAAUAAAUCUUAAGAUAUUUGUAGUGAUUUCUAAUAGAAAAUGCAAUAUUUUACCCCUGUGCAGCUGUUUGCAGAGCUGGUCAAUUGCAAAUAUACUGGUCAUAUUUUUUUCUGUUAUUCUCAUAUCUCCUGUAAACCUGGUUGGUUUUAUUGGCAUAUGCUGAGUUAUCAUCCCAAAGUUUGAUUUCCAGUGGACAGGGUUCUGCUGCUGGUGGAAAAGAAGAUGUGGCUGGCUGAAGUAGUGCUGGGCACUGGCUGCCCCAUGGCCAGGAAGGCUCAGCUCAGAUUGGUGAAGACAGAUGGGACAACUGGAAAUAGAGAAAAAUGACUGGAAGAAACAGAUAUACUCCUGCCAGUGGAGAGGCAGCCAACUUCUUUCUGUUUUUUUUUUUUUUUUUUUUUUUUUAGUCCUUCAUUAGAAGAUUAUUUGCAAUAGCCCUCAUGAAGAGGAAUUUGGCCAGUCCAGGUCCUCCAGUGGAAAAUAUGGGCAUAGCUUGGAUCAACUCUGAAAAGCCAAUCCAUAUACUGACACUAAAUCUUUCAGAUACAGCCACAGCCUCUCAGUGUGAUUGCAGUUUCUAUGACAAGAAUUUGGUUCAAAACUUUGAGAAGCCAUAAGGUGAAAAUAUUUGAAGCAUGAAAACAAGGCAAAACAAAGCAAAUGAUCCUAAAUGGCAGGCUCAAGACACGUCCAUCACAGUAGAAGACCACACGCCCCUGGCUGUGGCAAUGGUUUCUGCAGCAGGAUGGAGAUGCUGGGUCCUGGAGGCAAGUGGAGAGGAGAUGGAGCUCCGCAGCCUCACCUGGGCCAGGGGUGACACCUGAGUCCUUCAGGCCUCUGGGAACAGGGCUAUUUCUUGAGGAAAGAGGACCAUCUCUCCAUUUCCCAUGUCUUAAUGGAGGGUGAGACAUCCCCUGCUCUGCUGGCAAAUUCUUGCAUACUGCUAAUCUUACCUGUAAUAAUUUUUACCUGUUGAUACAAAUAAAUAAAACAAGAGUAUUAAUAUGGAUAUUUAGCCUUCUACCUUGUUCAGAAGAUGUGCUGCUAUGCUCAGUCAUGGUAAUACAGUAAAGCAACAUGGGAAAAUAUACAGCAAUCUGGAUUGCCUCAUAACCUAGAUCCAUCUGAAACAUAAGUUUAAGAUGGCCAAACAUGAAGUCGUGUACUAGGCCACAGCUAUAUAGUACUGAGCAGUUUAGGAUGGGUGUGACAUGGUGGUCUCUGAGCUGGGCUGUUAGCUAAAGCAACGUGAGCAGACGCUUGAAGGGAUAAUAAAGGGUUUUUGCCGUGUGCUGUUAGUUAAUUCUGCCAGCUCCACUGCUGCCCCUUCUGGGCUCCGUUCCUUGCCGUGUGCUGCUCAUCUUCAUUACCUACGUGUACAUGUACAAGAUCUCUAAUUACCCUUCUUGCUCUGCUAGUCUGCCUAAGACUUCGUACCCUGUAAUGUGAGACAAAAUAAGAUUGUUUUUUAUUUUCUUUUUUAUUUGUUUUUCAAAUACUCUCAGCUUUCUUAGUAUUGAACUGAUCCUAUUUCUGUGCCAGUUCAAGCCAUUCUGAGUUUCAUCACUCUUGCUUUUAUUUUCUCCUUGCGAGCCUCCCCCCAUAUUGUGCCAUUGGCAGGUUCCAUCCUUUUACAUGGCUUCUUCCAGGUCAUUGAUACUAGAGUGAAUAAUGCUGUCCUGACAUUGAUCUUGUUGUGCUCCAGUAGUCACUAAGAACAAACAAUAUUAGGUUAUAGCAUUGAUUUCAUGGAUUUCAAUUUUUUCCCAAUCAUGUUCUUGUUAAGCACCUUGUAAAAUACAUCAUGUCACAUGCUCAUCUCUUCUGUUUCGUGGCAAAACGAAUCCAACACAGGCAAUCGCUUUCAUACUGGGAAAAUUUGUCCUCCCCAGUGCCAAGGAGUUAGCAGUGUUUAAUUCAGUCCUAUGCUCUGGGGAAACUUAAGGGCAGCCUAUAGCAUUCAGUACAAUAUUUCAAAUUAUCAUAAUUUGCGAGCAACUGGACAAGCUGGCUACUGAAAAUGGGUAUCACGAUCUAAUAAAAACCUAAUAAAACUUUCAAAGUCACUCUGGAGCUCUCAGGGGAGCAUUAUGCAAUCCUGCCACUGCGGCAGGAGCCCAUCUCCUUCCAGCUAAUCCGCUGUGAAAGCGAGGUGCAGGCACGGCCGGGCAUGCCUAAACGGCUUUUCAUGUCCUCGCCAGCAAGAACUUUUUUGGAUGAGCUCCGGACUCUUUUGGUAGGCAUGUAAGUCACUACCAAUACUUUUCAAAGUGGCUGUGCUGUGGUUUGCUGAGAGAGGAGAUAAUACGGCCAUGAGGCUGAGGAUGUACAAACACAGACAUAAUGUCAUUUAAGUGCUCUUCCUAAUUAUUUUAUAUAUUAAUGCACUGUCGUCACUGCUUGCCAGGUAAUCUUUCAUACGGAGCUACAAGGAUGUCAAAGCAAAUUGUGCUGCUUCCUUCAGUGCAUGGUUUAGAAGAGUCCAUUUUGGCAAAACAAUGACUCCGCUACCUGCAAGUAUAAUGAAACAGAAAUGACAACCAGAUAACCACGUUGUCGAUACACGUACUGUUUGUAAAAUUAUUGUUUAGAAAAGUGGUGCUUUCAAAAUAUAGUGGGUACUGUGGGGAAGAGGCUCACAUACGUGUACUUGGAAAGCCACUCAUCCUGUUUUUGGUGUUCCUCAAUGGAAAGCGUUACAUAAAGGGUCAUAUAUAUAUGUAUAUAUAUCCUAAAAAAUCAAACUUAGCACUCUUAAUGGUAUGGUUUGCUCACUGGAAGAUUUCAAUAUUCUCAGGCACAGGAAUUCAACAUUUCUGACUGUUCUUAAUAGAUUUGGUGAGCCCUGAAAUCUGUGCCGUCCUGACCCUAUGUAAUGUCCAGUACAUUGAGGUGAGCUGAGGCUGCCUGGGCACACAGAUCGGUGUACAUAAUCACUGCCAAGGAGACGGCCGUAAUAAUUCUUAUCUUCCUUAAUCUUAUGUAAAUUUGGAGUUCCUGGAUUUAAGUCAACAGAACUGCAGUGUGUAGAGAUUAAACAUAGGCAUCUGACUCUACCUUUAUCUAUUCUCAUAAGAAAACCUGGUGUAAAAAAUUGUAAAGUUGAGACUGGUAAUGGAGAUAAAAAAAGCCUGUAGGAUCUUGCAGAAAGGAACAACUUCACUAUUUUUCUUACCCUUCAUAAUGCUGAGCAAAAUAUUUUAAAAAUAUUUUAGUGAUAUGAUGGAUGUAAACCAUUUAAAAGUUUUAUUGAGCUUUACUCUAGUGCAAAUCUUAAAAAUCCUAUAGAAAUUAUAUCAAGAUUUUCAGUAAGGUUCCAUGCAGUAUUAUGAGUAAAUGUAAAAUUGAUUUCAUAUUGGAAAUAGAUGCUAGGCAGAUUUUGCAUAUCGGGUAGAGGAAUGAAAUUACAUUUAUUGUUGUAUUUUUUUUUCUUUUUUUUUUUUUUUUUCUUAAAAAACAAAACAAAACAAAACACUUCAGCUCAGGUAAUAAUUGUACAGUCUAUUAUAAUGAUCCCAGGAGGUGCUUAACAGUACUGCAAUUCUAAGUUUUUACACUUUUAUUUUUCAUUUGAAGAAAAACUUGUCACAAUAAAAGUGAUACAUUAACAGAACAUCACUUCCUUCUUUUUUUAUUAUGCAUAUUUAGAUUAUUUCCAUGAAAUUGCUUAUCAAAUCCCAUAGGCUUUUAAAGAUAACUGAACAGUUACCCAUUUGUGUUAACUCUGGGAUAUUGUGCAAGAAUUUGUGGUGGGACAAUGAGAAGAUAAAGCACAC